Non-coding RNA from Mus caroli (Ryukyu mouse), 1205 nucleotides. The record is from RefSeq and is a predicted model, not a curated record. Lineage: Eukaryota; Metazoa; Chordata; Mammalia; Rodentia; Muridae.
AGUCUUUUAUGCAAUGAUCAUUAUCGAACUGUGUAUCAGAACAGACUAACUGAUGAAGCUAAGAUUUUAAAAAACCUUAAUCACCCAAACAUUAUAGGAUAUCGUGCUUUUACUGAAGCCAGUGAUGGUAGUGAGUGCCUUGCUAUGGAGUAUGGAGGUGAAAAGUCUCUGAAUGACUUAAUAGAAGAGCGGAACAAAGACAGUGGAAGUCCUUUUCCAGCAGCUAUAAUUCUCAGAGUUGCUUUGCACAUGGCCAGAGGGCUAAAGUAUCUGCACCAAGAAAAGAAGCUGCUUCAUGGAGACAUAAAGUCUUCAAAUGUUGUAAUUAAAGGUGGUUUUGAAACAAUUAAAAUCUGUGAUGUUGGAGUCUCUCUGCCAUUGGAUGAAAAUAUGACUGUGACUGAUCCUGAGGCCUGUUAUAUUGGUACUGAGCCAUGGAAACCCAAGGAAGCCUUGGAAGAAAAUGGCAUCAUUACUGACAAGGCAGAUGUGUUUGCUUUUGGCCUUACUCUGUGGGAAAUGAUUACUUUAUGUAUUCCACACAUCAAUCUUCCAGAUGAUGAUGUUGAUGAAGAUGCAACCUUUGAUGAGAGUGACUUCGAUGAUGAAGCAUAUUAUGCAGCUCUGGGGACAAGGCCAUCCAUCAACAUGGAAGAACUGGAUGACUCCUACAAGAAGGUCAUUGAACCCUUCUGUGUGUGUACUAAUGAGGAUCCUAAAGAUCGCCCGUCUGCUGCACACAUCGUUAAAGCUUUGGAACUAGAUGGCCAAUGUUGUGGUCUAAGCUCAAAGCAUUAACUUGUAUGGAGACUGUUAACUAGAUAUAUUUAUGUAGUUAAUAUAACUUAUAGUAGCUAGAUUCUAGAAGUAGCUUAAACACUAGUGACCCCUGUCUAAGAUGACUUAAGAAUCAAGGGACCAUUGCUUUGUUACAGAUCUUUUUAGAUAUUCUUGCUUCUUUAAUGGGUUACUAAAAAUGUCACUACAUGUGGUACAGUUAUCUGUCUGCUCAUAGUGUCCAUCCUUCAGCUGGCCUGUCAGCCCAUGUGCCCUGGAACUUGAGAAGAGUUCAUAAAUGUAGCUCCUAGGCUGUCUUGCCUCUCCACAUUUAGCAUCUAAUUUAUUACUUUGUUUCUACUGAUUGUGUCUUAAGUCUUUUAAAAUAAAUGUAAGAAUAAACAAUAAAAGACAGUUUUAGUACCAGG